AGUGAACGCUGGCGGUAGGCCUAACACAUGCAAGUCGAACGGCAGCACAGUAAGAGCUUGCUCUUACGGGUGGCGAGUGGCGGACGGGUGAGGAAUACAUCGGAAUCUACUUUUUCGUGGGGGAUAACGUAGGGAAACUUACGCUAAUACCGCAUACGACCUACGGGUGAAAGCAGGGGAUCUUCGGACCUUGCGCGAUUGAAUGGGCCGGUGUCGGAUUAGCUAGUUGGCGGGGUAGAGGCCCACCAAGGCGACGAUCGGUAGCUGGCCUGAGAGGAGGACCGGCCACAAGGGUACUGAGGGAGGGCCCAGAGGGCAAUGGGGGACAGGGGGGGGGAACAUGGCACAACGGGCGGGGGGGGGAUAAAGAAGCGCCGGGUUCGUGAGGACUGUUUGUGGGGAAAAAAAAGCUGUAGCUUGUGACCCAGCGUUUGUGACGGUACCGAAUAAAGAAGCACCGGCUAACUUCGUG
This 472-nucleotide ribosomal RNA is filed under the name uncultured bacterium. Its description in RNAcentral is "partial 16S ribosomal RNA". It matches the Rfam family "Bacterial small subunit ribosomal RNA", at positions 30 to 507 of the family's 1533-position model. The record is from RNAcentral.